GCUCCCAUGGCAUAGUGUGGUCACUGCGCUCGCCUUGCACGCGGGAGACCCGGGUUCGAUUCCCGGCGGGGUCA
Molecule: transfer RNA, 74 nt
Filed under: Diaphorina citri (Asian citrus psyllid)
Lineage: Eukaryota; Metazoa; Arthropoda; Insecta; Hemiptera; Psyllidae
Rfam family: tRNA
About the family: Transfer RNA (tRNA) molecules are approximately 80 nucleotides in length. Their secondary structure includes four short double-helical elements and three loops (D, anti-codon, and T loops).
Source: Rfam by way of RNAcentral